RNAcentral lists this ribosomal RNA (492 nucleotides) under uncultured bacterium. RNAcentral describes it as "partial 16S ribosomal RNA". It matches the Rfam family "Bacterial small subunit ribosomal RNA", at positions 29 to 507 of the family's 1533-position model. The record is from RNAcentral.
AGUGAACGCUGGCGGUAGGCCUAACACAUGCAAGUCGAACGGCAGCACAGUAAGAGCUUGCUCUUACGGGUGGCGAGUGGCGGACGGGUGCGGAAUACAUCGGAAUCUACUUUUUCGUGGGGGAUAACGUAGGGAAAUUUACGCUAAUACCGCAUACGACCUACGGGUGAAAGCAGGGGAUCUUCGGACCUUGCGCGAUUGAAUGAGCCGAUGUCGGAUUAGCUAGUUGGCGGGGUAAAGGCCCACCAAGGCGACGAUCCGUAGCUGGUCUGAGAGGAUGAUCCGCCACACUGGAACUGAGACACGGUCCAGACUCCUACGGGAAGCAACAGUGGGGAAUAUUUGACGAUGGGCGCAAGCCUGAUCCAGCCCUACCGCGUGGGUGAAGAAGGCCUUCGGGUUUUAAAGCCCUUUUGUUGGGAAAGAAAAGCAGCAGGUUAAUACCCCGCUGUUCUGACGGUACCCAAAGAAUAAGCACCGGCUAACUUCGUG